This is a long non-coding RNA of Cyprinus carpio (common carp), 1291 nucleotides long. RefSeq lists it as uncharacterized. The record is from RefSeq and is a predicted model, not a curated record. Lineage: Eukaryota; Metazoa; Chordata; Actinopteri; Cypriniformes; Cyprinidae. The transcript has 4 exons.
AUAAGUUACAAAGUGAACUUAAAUGUAUGCAUAAAUAAAAUGAAAGAAAGUAAGUCAUGACAACUACUAGUACAAUUAUGUUAAAAUUAAGUAAAUCUAGCAUAAAAUUUUAAGUAUUUGACUGUGAGCCAUGUGAUGUGCUGUUUCCUGCAAAGGAGCCAUUUUGUGAAGCACAUGUGAAGACGGUGAGAAGGGGGGGUGAAGAAACGCAUUUCUGAAACGCAACGUGAUGUAGAUGCUGAAAAGAGACCAGCCCUGUGGAACAACGUAGAGAAGUUGUAAUUCUAUGCUUAAUUGUCUGCCUCUCUGAAAAUCCUGAGAAUCUGAUCAAGCACCAUCAGGAUACUCAUGGGAAUAAGGAGGAACUGGAACUGCUCACACUUAAAAUCAUCAAGAAAGGUGGCUCAACAGAUGAUCCAUUACAGACUGGGAUAGUGCUGGAAGGCAUAGAGGUGAUGACGAGAUUGGCAGGUGUUGCGAAGGCUUGUGUUUUUCUGCUUGGCCUAAUUUAAGCAAUUAAUCUGAGUUACCCCAAAGAGCUCAAUGAACAAUGUUUGUCUGCAACUGUUUGAUUACAUUCUUGUUUUAUUCUUAGGAUGUUUUUGGGUGUUCCAAAAGUAAAUGUUAGAAAAAUUGUUGCAAAGGGUGAAAAAAAAAGUGACCUAUUGUAGACCUAUUGUGUCUUACAAACAAAAAAAAAAAAGAUAAAGAAAAUGCUUUUUUUUUCUAGUUUUAUUAGGAAUUCUGUACAAAAUUAAAUGCUGGAAUAAUGUAAAUCCUUUAUGAAGUGUUGCAAAGGGUUAAAAAUCAAGGAAUUAACUUGUUAGAAGUGAACUUCCAUUUGUAUAUUUGUCACAUUGUGUUGUACAUUCAUGAUGUGUUGUUUUAGGCUUCACCGUUGCUUUGCAGCCUGUCAAAAAAAAUAAAUAAACUGAAAUGCUUUAUUUUGUGUAAUUUGCUUGUUUAAUUUAUUUAAGAUAUUAAAUGUACUGUAAGCAGACCAAUAGCUGAAGAUCUAAAAUCAGUUAAAAUGUUAAGUUGGUUCAACUGAAUUUUUAAAUAUAAAUGAGCUUAAAUGUUAAGUUAACACAACUUGAAAUUACUUGGUAGAUUAUAUAAUGUUGAAUAUUUUAAGUAAAGAAUGUUGAGUGAACUCAAAUAUUUAAGUUCAUAUAACAAAGAUUAUCUUGUUUAUUUUAAGUAAAAUUGUUCCAAGUUGGGUUUACUUAAAAAGUGUGUUGCAAAAAUGGUGCAUAUAUAUUUUAAGUAAAUCCAACACAUCAUUUUUACC